UGUGAGUCGUUGCAGCAAUGCAAGGCAGACGGCUCAGUAACACGUAGUCAACCUAACCUAUGGACGGGGAUAACCUCGGGAAACUGAGAAUAAUACCCGAUAGAUCAUGAUACCUGGAACGGUUUAUGGUCCAAAUGAUUUAUCGCCAUAGGAUGGGACUGCGGUCUAUCAGCUUGUUGGUGAGGUAAUGGCCCACCAAGGCUAUAACAGAUACGGGCUCUGAGAGGAGGGGCCCGGAGAUGGGUACUGAGACACGGACCCAGGUCCUAUGGGGCGCAGCAGGCGAGAAACCUUUGCAAUGUGCGAAAGCACGACAAGGUUAAUCCGAGUGAUUCCUGCUAAAGGAAUCUUUUGUUAGUCAUAAAACCACUGAUGAAUAAGGGGUGGGCAAGUUCUGGUGUCAGCCGCCGCGGUAAUACCAGCACCUCGAGUGGUCAGGAGGUUUAUUGGGCCUAAAGCAUCCGUAGCCGGCUGUUCAAGUUUCCGGUUAAAUCCACACGCUUAACGUAUGGGCUGCCGGAAAUACUGUUCAGCUAGGGAGUGGGAGAGGUAAACGGUACUCGAUAGGAAGGGGUAAAAUCCUUUGAUCUACUGAUGACCACCUGUGGCGAAGGCGGUCUACCAGAACACGUUCGACGGUGAGGGAUGAAAGCUGGGGGAGCAAACCGGAUUAGAUACCCGGGUAGUCCCAGCUGUAAACGAUGCAGACUCGGUGAUGCAUUGGCUUGUGGCCAGUGCAGUGCCGCAGGGAAGCCGUUAAGUUUGCCGCCUGGGAAGUACGUACGCAAGUAUGAAACUUAAAGGAAUUGGCGGGGGAGCACCACAAGGGGUGAAGCCUGCGGUUCAAUUGGAUUCAACGCCGGAAAGGGCGAAUUCCAG
Molecule: ribosomal RNA, 879 nt
Filed under: uncultured archaeon
Lineage: Archaea
Description: bacterial SSU rRNA
Rfam family: Archaeal small subunit ribosomal RNA
Source: RNAcentral